GACGAACGCUGGCGGCGUGCUUAACACAUGCAAGUCGAACGAUGAACCCGGAGCUUGCUCCGGUGGAUUAGCGGCGGACGGGUGAGUAACACGUGGGUAACCUGCCCAUAAGACUGGGAUAACUCCGGGAAACCGGGGCUAAUACCGGAUAACAUUUUGAACCGCAUGGUUCGAAAUUGAAAGGCGGCUUCGGCUGUCACUUAUGGAUGGACCCGCGUCGCAGUAGCUAGUUGGUGAGGUGACGGCUCACCAAGGCAACGAUGCGUAGCCGACCUGAGAGGGUGAUCGGCCACACUGGGACUGGGACACGGCCCAGACUCCUACGGGAGGCAGCAGUAGGGAAUCUUCCGCAAUGGACGAAAGUCUGACGGAGCAACGCCGCGUGAGUGACGAAGGCUUUCGGGUCGUAAAACUCUGUUGUUAGGGAAGAACAAGUGCUAGUUGAAUAAGCUGGCACCUUGACGGUACCUAACCAGAAAGCCACGGCUAACUACGUGCCAGCCGCCGCAGUAA
This 513-nucleotide ribosomal RNA is filed under the name uncultured bacterium. RNAcentral's name for it is "partial 16S ribosomal RNA". It matches the Rfam family "Bacterial small subunit ribosomal RNA", at positions 28 to 523 of the family's 1533-position model. The record is from RNAcentral.